CAAAAUAACACUGGGACCAGUGUGUGUUGUUAAAAAUUUUCUUACAAGGUUAAUUGGACCAGACUAUUGUGUUGCAAAGCUCUACUACACCACCAGAGAAUUUUAUUCUCUCCUGGUUCUUGUUCACUUUCUUGGAAUAAGGCUGAACAUGCCAUAGAGGAAAUGUGCUAAACCCAGGAAGGAGGAAAAGGUUUUCCUUAUAGGGCUUAAAUCCUCUUCGGGAUGAGGGUUACAUGUUGCGACAGAUGACUGUUAGAAAUGGGAGAGUAAGCACAACACCAUGAUGAGAAUUAUCAGUAUUUCCCCAUGUGCAUCAAGGCAUCAUCUGUCUCAGCAAAUGUCCUUUGACUGUCAGAGGUUUAACUCAAUUAAGGAAAGGUACCAUUCUCCCAAUUUUCUUAAAGAGCUAUGCAUACUGCCUCUUUAGCACCACUAGCACCUGUGAGCAAAGACGACAGAAUUGCACUGCAGUCUUCCACAUGGUAAUGCAGACUGUAAGACCACUGAUACAGCCUAGAAAGAACCAAUUGUCAGGCUAUGAUUCCCACUUACAGAGAAUGUUACUUUCCAAUUAAUAAUGAUCAAUUUCUGGAAGGAGGAAAUAGGAAUUUUUAUAAAUAUUCUAUUAAAUUUCAAAGUUACAGACAAAAUAUGAAGCAAAGAUGACUGACUGAAUCAGUCGUUUUAGGAAGGACGCCUCUUGUCAACUAAUUAUUCUAAAACAAUGUUGUGCCUAUGAUGGAAUUAUUUUAAAAUCUUUUGCAAUAUAUAAGAGCAUAAGAUAA
Molecule: non-coding RNA, 785 nt
Organism: Chelonoidis abingdonii (Abingdon island giant tortoise)
Lineage: Eukaryota; Metazoa; Chordata; Testudines; Testudinidae
Source: RefSeq, a predicted model, not a curated record